UGAGGCAGGAGAAUUGCUUGAACCCAGGAGGCGGAGGUUGCAGUGAGCCGAGAUAGUGCCACUGCACUCCAGCCUGGGUGACGGAGCAAGACUCCAUCUCA
This 101-nucleotide microRNA precursor is filed under the name Macaca nemestrina (pig-tailed macaque). Its description in RNAcentral is "miRNA (ENSMNEG00000023612.1)". Lineage: Eukaryota; Metazoa; Chordata; Mammalia; Primates; Cercopithecidae. The record is from RNAcentral.